This 284-nucleotide ribosomal RNA is filed under the name uncultured bacterium. Its description in RNAcentral is "partial 16S ribosomal RNA". It matches the Rfam family "Bacterial small subunit ribosomal RNA", at positions 333 to 614 of the family's 1533-position model. The record is from RNAcentral.
UAUUUCCUACGGGGGGCAGCAGUGAGGAAUAUUGGUCAAUGGUCGGGAGACUGAACCAGCCAAGCCGCGUGAGGGAUGAAGGUACAGAGUAUCGUAAACCUCUUUUGUCAGGGAACAAAGGCGGGGACGCGUCCCCGGAUGAGUGUACCUGAAGAAAAAGCAUCGGCUAACUCCGUGCCAGCAGCCGCGGUAAUACGUAGGGGGCGAGCGUUAUCCGGAUUCAUUGGGCGUAAAGCGCGCGUAGGCGGGCAUGUAAGCGGGCACUCUAAUCUUGGGGCUCAACC